CCUACGGGAGGCAGCAGUGGGGAAUAUUGGGCAAUGGGCGCAAGCCUGACCCAGCAACGCCGCGUGAAGGAAGAAGGCUUUCGGGUUGUAAACUUCUUUUCUCAGGGACGAAGAAAGUGACGGUACCUGGGGAAUAAGCCACGGCUAACUACGUGCCAGCAGCCGCGGGAAUACGUAGGUGGCAAGCGUUAUCCGGAUUUAUUGGGUGUAAAGGGCGUGUAGGCGGGAGCGCAAGUCAGAUGUGAAAACUCCGGGCUCAACCCUGAGCCUGCAUUUGAAACUGUGUGUCUUGAGUGCUGGAGAGGCAAUCGGAAUUCCGGGUGUAGCGGUGAAACGCGUAGAUAUAAGGAGGAACACCAGUGGCGAAGGCGGAUUGCUGGACAGUAACUGACGCUGAGGCGCGAAAGCGUGGGGAGCAAACAGGAUUAGAUACCCGAGUAGUC
This 443-nucleotide ribosomal RNA is filed under the name uncultured bacterium. RNAcentral describes it as "partial 16S ribosomal RNA". It matches the Rfam family "Bacterial small subunit ribosomal RNA", at positions 338 to 795 of the family's 1533-position model. The record is from RNAcentral.